GGAGAGGUGGCCGAGCGGCCGAAGGCGCUCCCCUGCUAAGGGAGUAUACGGGCAAAACCUGUAUCGAGAGUUCAAAUCUCUCCCUCUCCG
This 90-nucleotide transfer RNA is filed under the name Nitratidesulfovibrio sp. HK-II. It matches the Rfam family "tRNA". From Rfam's summary of the family: Transfer RNA (tRNA) molecules are approximately 80 nucleotides in length. Their secondary structure includes four short double-helical elements and three loops (D, anti-codon, and T loops). Further hydrogen bonds mediate the characteristic L-shaped molecular structure. tRNAs have two regions of fundamental functional importance: the anti-codon, which is responsible for specific mRNA codon recognition, and the 3' end, to which the tRNAs corresponding amino acid is attached (by aminoacyl-tRNA synthetases). tRNAs cope with the degeneracy of the genetic code in two manners: having more than one tRNA (with a specific anti-codon) for a particular amino acid; and 'wobble' base-pairing, i.e. permitting non-standard base-pairing at the 3rd anti-codon position. Lineage: Bacteria; Pseudomonadati; Thermodesulfobacteriota; Desulfovibrionia; Desulfovibrionales; Desulfovibrionaceae. The record is from Rfam by way of RNAcentral.